GACAUUGUUCUUAAUUACUUUUCUAGAGAACCUAUAUUAGAUUAUUAGAAGAAGUUUUGAAAUAGCACUCUUUUGCAUACCGUUUCAAACCACCACCCGACGCUCUUCGAACCCUAAACCGCCGGCGCUAGGAGGCGUGACAGUGCCCUUCAGAAAGCUUCCAUCGUCACCGCUGAUGGUCGCUCAAUGGCCACUGCACCAGAGUUUGAAAGCAGCAACAAUAUACGGACACAUCAUGUAAACAUACCUCAAUCGCCUACUACAAGAAUAAGAAGCUUUAGGGGCGACAUCUUUAGUCGCGACACCCACCAAUAGCGGCGACCUAUGUUACGAUCCGUGUUGUAAUAUACUGAUAUACUCUUACUGAUAAUGAUCUGAAGGUUGUAUCACUUUAUAAUCAUAUUUGUGAGCCCUUGAUCAAUAGUAUUUACUAAGAUCAAAAGUAAAACAUAGUUUUUUAACACAAGGGCCCCAUUUUUAGACUUUGCUUUAGAGUGUUUGCCCCAUUUUUAGUUUUUUA
RNAcentral lists this long non-coding RNA (520 nucleotides) under Helianthus annuus (common sunflower). Lineage: Eukaryota; Viridiplantae; Streptophyta; Magnoliopsida; Asterales; Asteraceae. The record is from RNAcentral.